Molecule: ribosomal RNA, 468 nt
Filed under: uncultured bacterium
Lineage: Bacteria
Description: partial 16S ribosomal RNA
Rfam family: Bacterial small subunit ribosomal RNA
Source: RNAcentral
GACGAACGCUGGCGGCGUGCUUAACACAUGCAAGUCGAACGGAAAGGCCCUGCUUUUGUGGGGUGCUCGAGUGGCGAACGGGUGAGUAACACGUGAGUAACCUGCCCUUGACUUUGGGAUAACUUCAGGAAACUGGGGCUAAUACCGGAUAGGAGCUCCUGCUGCAUGGUGGGGGUUGGAAAGUUUCGGCGGUUGGGGAUGGACUCGCGGCUUAUCAGCUUGUUGGUGGGGUAGUGGCUUACCAAGGCUUUGACGGGUAGCCGGCCUGAGGGGGUGACCGGCCACAUUGGGACUGAGAUACGGCCCAGACUCCUACGGGAGGCAGCAGUGGGGAAUAUUGCACAAUGGGCGGAAGCCUGAUGCAGCAACGCCGCGUGCGGGAUGACGGCCUUCGGGUUGUAAACCGCUUUCGCCUGUGACGAAGCGUGAGUGACGGUAAUGGGUAAAGAAGCACCGGCUAACUACGUG